CGUGGGGCAUCUAUAAUGCAGUCGAGCGGACAGAUGGGAGCUUGCUCCCUGAUGUUAGCGGCGGACGGGUGAGUAACACGUGGGUAACCUGCCUGUAAGACUGGGAUAACUCCGGGAAACCGGGGCUAAUACCGGAUGCUUGAUUGAACCGCAUGGUUCAAUUAUAAAAGGUGGCUUUUAGCUACCACUUACAGAUGGACCCGCGGCGCAUUAGCUAGUUGGUGAGGUAACGGCUCACCAAGGCAACGAUGCGUAGCCGACCUGAGAGGGUGAUCGGCCACACUGGGACUGAGACACGGCCCAGACUCCUACGGGAGGCAGCAGUAGGGAAUCUUCCGCAAUGGACGAAAGUCUGACGGAGCAACGCCGCGUGAGUGAUGAAGGUUUUCGGAUCGUAAAACUCUGUUGUUAGGGAAGAACAAGUACCGUUCGAAUAGGGCGGAACCUUGACGGUACCUAACCAGAAAGCCACGGCUAACUACGUGCCAGCAGCCGCGGUAAUACGUAGGGGGCAGACCG
RNAcentral lists this ribosomal RNA (519 nucleotides) under Bacillus sonorensis. RNAcentral's name for it is "bacterial SSU rRNA". It matches the Rfam family "Bacterial small subunit ribosomal RNA", at positions 40 to 539 of the family's 1533-position model. The record is from RNAcentral. Lineage: Bacteria; Bacillati; Bacillota; Bacilli; Caryophanales; Bacillaceae.